AGUGAACGCUGGCGGUAGGCCUAACACAUGCGAGUCGAACGGCAGCACAGUAAGAGCUUGCUCUUACGGGUGGCGAGUGGCGGACGGGUGAGGAAUACAUCGGAAUCUACUUUUUCGUGGGGGAUAACGUAGGGAAACUUACGCUAAUACCGCAUACGACCUACGGGUGAAAGCAGGGGAUCUUCGGACCUUGCGCGAUUGAAUGAGCCGAUGUCGGAUUAGCUAGUUGGCGGGGUAAAGGCCCACCAAGGCGACGAUCCGUAGCUGGUCUGAGAGGAUGGUCAGCCACACUGGAACUGAAGCACGGUCCAGACUCCUACGGGAGGCAGCAGUGGGGAAUAUUGGACAAUGGGCGCAAGCCUGAUCCAGCCAUACCGCGUGGGUGAAGAAGGCCUUCGGGUUGUAAAGCCCUUUUGUUGGGAAAGAAAAGCAGCAGGUUAAUACCCCGCUGUUCUGACGGUACCCAAAGAAUAAGCACCGGCUAACUUCGUG
Molecule: ribosomal RNA, 492 nt
Filed under: uncultured bacterium
Lineage: Bacteria
Description: partial 16S ribosomal RNA
Rfam family: Bacterial small subunit ribosomal RNA
Source: RNAcentral